UCGGGAUUGGAAUUCUCGACUUAGUGGCGGACGGGUGAGUAACGCGUGAGCAAUCUGCCUUUAAGAGGGGGAUAACAGUCGGAAACGGCUGCUAAUACCGCAUAAAGCAUCGAAACCGCAUGAUUUUGAUGCCAAAGGAGCAAUCCGCUUUUAGAUGAGCUCGCGUCUGAUUAGCUGGUUGGCGGGGUAACGGCCCACCAAGGCGACGAUCAGUAGCCGGACUGAGAGGUUGAACGGCCACAUUGGGACUGAGACACGGCCCAGACUCCUACGGGAGGCAGCAGUGGGGAAUAUUGCGCAAUGGGGGAAACCCUGACGCAGCAACGCCGCGUGAUUGAAGAAGGCCUUCGGGUUGUAAAGAUCUUUAAUCAGGGACGAAACAAAUGACGGUACCUGAAGAAUAAGCUCCGGCUAACUACGUGCCAGCAGCCGCGGUAAUACGUAGGGAGCAAGCGUUAUCCGGAUUUACUGGGUGUAAAGGGCGCGCAGGCGGGCCGGUAAGUUGGAAGUGAAAUCUAUGGGCUUAACCCAUAAACUGCUUUCAAAACUGCUGGUCUUGAGUGAUGGAGAGGCAGGCGGAAUUCCGUGUGUAGCGGUGAAAUGCGAAGAUAUACGGAGGAACA
This 623-nucleotide ribosomal RNA is filed under the name uncultured Lachnospiraceae bacterium. Its description in RNAcentral is "bacterial SSU rRNA". It matches the Rfam family "Bacterial small subunit ribosomal RNA", at positions 72 to 708 of the family's 1533-position model. The record is from RNAcentral. Lineage: Bacteria; Bacillati; Bacillota; Clostridia; Lachnospirales; Lachnospiraceae.